GGAAUAUUUAAUCAAAUGUUGGGAGUGGCUUGCUGGGAUGCAUUUAUCAAUUUCUUGCAGAAAGGUGAUCUAUAAUAAUUCUGAGUAUAGCCCGAUGGUAAGAAGUGGUCAAUCAGUAGUGUCUGGGCGUUUCACGAUUCUGAAGAUGAGAGGUAAACAUGGAUAUUUAGAAUGUUUAGAAGUAGGCCCCAAAGAAGUUGUACUGUGUUUCCCUUUCUGGGUUCAUUGUCCAUUCAGCCAGCAGACGAGUACUGGAAAUGGAUGUGCCAUCUGUGAUGGCAUAAAGGGCUGUGAGACGCAGUCCAGGUCCACGAGAAGCUUCCUUGCAGUUAGGCUGUUUUAUAACUGUUCCCAAAUCAUGUUAGCUCUGGAAGCUAUUUUAGGAACUCCUUUGGUUAUGAACCAUAUCUUAUAUUUAAUUUUGAUUCUCCUUCUCCUCUUGUCCUGGAUUCAGUAGGAGCAUCAACAAACAUCGUGUGCCUGGCAUUGUCUUAGGUGUUGGAAGUAUUUAGAAGAAUCAGAGAUUCUUGGUCCAGGCUUGGCUGCCGCUCUGUUUUGCUGCUUUUCAUGUUGUCAGAGGAUCUUCUUGGGAACAAAUGACUCAGCAACCUGAAUCUCUGGGACUGAGUGGCCUAAGCGCCUUUUGAGAAGUGAUUGGACGUAUCCACCUAGACCCUAAAAUUCUGAGUCCGGAAAGGAUGGAGAUCCAGCCUGGUUUACUCUAGAUUCUUCAUGCUGCGGUUCAGUUUGGUUUCUCCAAUUCCUCCCCGAUAGAAGGCUCUCACUCAUGGGGGGAAAAGCUGCAGUUCUGCUCUUGCAACACAAGGAGCAGACUGGAGAAUUUAGAUCUGCGUCACAGAGCUCAGAGAGAGAGAGAGAGGAGAGAGAGAGAGAGCGCUCCGUGGAUAGGUCUGCUAGCAACAGCCGUGCUGCAGCAGAGAGAGAGAGAGAAAUCAAGAAACAAGUCAUAGCAACACCGGGCACCAGGUUCUGCCAGCUCACUUGCCAAGCGUUCAGAAUCUGUCGGGGGGCCGGAGGCCUCUGGGUAGCCUAGUCUAAGGAGAUGACACGCAAGCCGGACCGAGAUUUGGGUCUGCGCAGGCUACGAUGGGUGGUCCGACGGGCUUCGGGACUUGAUGGCGUAACCCCCUUCUUCACCCACGUACGUAUUUGCUGGGAUCGGGGGUGAUGUCUCUGCGUAUGUGGGUGCUCUGUCUUUCUCACCUUCUUUCUCGCUUUUUGCUAUUUUUUCUCUGAGGGAGGGUUUUUUUCCACUUUAAUUUCUUUUUCCUUAGUGUCAGCUGCUCAAGCCUGACCAGGGUAGAGGAGAGAGGAGCAAGCUGUCCCCGUCGUCCCACCUGACCUCCCAGCCUUUACCCCCAUUUUCUUCUGUUGGACAGACAGGCAGACUGCUUUUCCAGGUUGUUUGGGUGUCAGCGUCUGUCUGUCUGUCCAUGCAGUUCUUAGGUGGAAGAGAGUGAGAAGGAGAAGUGCUGAGAGGAAGGCAAGGAGGACAGUUUUCCAAGGGGUGCCUUAUUGAAGUGUUGGGCCCUGGGAAUCUGGGGCUGGUGGGGAGCAGGUGGGCAGGAUGGGGCGUGGGCUGGGAGAAGUGGGGUAAAGCUGGUAGGUUUGUCACUGCGUAGUUGGGAAAAGUGGGGAAUGGUGACGCAGUCACUGUUGGAUCUUGUUAGGAGCUCUUGGGGGACAGGUAGUGAGGCUCCCGGGGUCUAUAGGGCCAGCUGAGAGGGGUUAAGGAUGAGCUGAGAAGGGAAGCUAGCAUUUAGAGAUUAAAUGUCAUCCUUUUGGCGUUGGAAAGUUGUUUACCUUGCGCUCUCUGUGUCUCCAUGUUGGCACCCUUCCAGUUCACAUGUGAUGGCCUUCCUUGUACUGCUGCAUCAUUAACUAAGUGACUGAGCUGGCCUUCCAUUGGCCAGGGGAGGGCUCUCACUCCAGACACCUCCUCUGAUUGGUGGGUGGGCCAAUGGCAGGUGAAAACCUUUUUUUGAUUGGCUGAGGGCAGGGUAUCAAAUCUGAAUUUGCAUUUCACUUGCUUAAAGGGGAGGGGGGGGAGAAGCCCAGCAGCUUUCUAAAAUCUGUUUAGGGGUGUGCGUAUGUUCCUGUGUCUGUACCUGCUUUUGACUGACCAGUCGAAGCCUUUUUUAUCUCAUGCACUAUAAGGAAGAGGAGCUGAGGGUUUCCCAAACUUUUGUUUGGAGGGGCAAGGGUUGGGGAGAUGGGUGCGCAGAGGGUUGACCAAACUGGAAGAGAAUAUUUGUUCUUUAGUUUGUGUCGGAAAAGGGAAUUUUCCAAUCAGCCACACCUCAGUGUUGCGGCAAAAUAAUUCUUGGCUCCCCUGGAAACGCAUGGGCAAGGUAGGGCAGAGCUGCUGCUGCUGAUAUUGCCACCACCCUGGGCUUCCUGCUGACUCUGGGCUACUCCCCGGGGACAAGAGAUUUGCAUUGACGUCCGGGGCUGUCCAAAGCUGAGCCCAGUAUGGAAAGGACCUGCCUUCUGGAAGCUGCUGCUCCCUGGUGCUUGGAAAGGUACCACGCAGGCUCUCUCAUGACGGUUAUUUCACUUAUUCCUUACCACGCCCUGCGAGGAGAGUCCCGUGGCUGGAAAACGCCGUGGGAACAGAGCCGUGAGAACUGGUGGUGGCAGAGUGAGGGUUAACCGGUGAGCCUUCCUGGGAGCCUUUCGAUGCCAGUGUGUCGGGAGCCGGGAGAUGGAGCGCUCAGCCGAGUGGCCAGGACGUUCUGUCAACAUGAAAGCAGCAAAAACAGCUUGUCGGGGCUCGGAGCUGACCCUUAGGCUGGGGUCGUUUUCAGGAAGAGCUUGGCAGAGAAGAAGGCCACUGCUGGACAUCAGGGUGGGGGCGACACCAGAGAACUCAGAGGACUUCAGCUCCAUGAGUAGGUGACAGCCUCCUGGAGACUCAGGCUCAGCUGAGGAUGGUGGUAUGCAGAAGACAGCGUCAUACUGUCGGAUAGAAGGGCCCGUUUGCAUUUAUUUGGAGCAAAAAAAAGGGGACGCCUGGCAGCCUGGUUCUCUGCAGAGCCCUGAAACCAGCAUUCCCAGUGGCAGGAAGAUGGAUGAUCUGGGCUCUGCUUCCGGCACCCCUCCCCCGCUCUGGCUGGAACUUGCGUCAGUCAUGUAAGUAGCUGUGACUCAGCACCCAGCCGGGCCGGGAGGGAGAAGCUGCUGCCUGGCAGGAAGCUUCCCAGCAUUCUGGAUUUGAACACACUGUGGUAGCACUGAACAAGCCAGCAGCAUGAGGCUCCUGGGGGCGAAUAUCUGUUUGUUCUGGGGGUUUGCUUCUGGAUUUCUUAAACAAGUAUUUCUCUCCUUCCCGUUUGCCUCCCAUGUUAUUUUUGGGGUACCGUGCUGGGCAUAGAUAGGGUUCUUAGGACUUUAAAAAGACAGCAUCCUUUAUAAAAUGAAGUGGCAGCUCUCUUUUCCAUCUCCAGCCUGCUCUUUAGCUGAUGGCCCGUGAAUUGUAUUUAACCCUCAGAUCUUUUUGUUUGGCUGGCACAGGGUUGUUUUGGUUUUUGUUAAUGUAUCUGAUUUUGCAUGCCUUUAGACAAAACACAGCCUCUCCAGGUCACUGUACUUCUUUCUGCUGCAUGCUGUCACUGCUUCUCUGUCUUAAGUUUCCGGCCCGAUAUUUGAGCAUGCAGUGACCAGUCUGCCAGCCCCCUUUCUGUUCAGGUGAACACUCCGAGGCCAUUCCCCGGAGGUGCAGGCCGCUGUUCUGAGAGUCUUGGCUGAGCGGGAAUUAAAGCCCCUGUAUUCUGAUUCACUCCGUGGUGACCUUUCCUCCACCGUAAGGUCCCUGCCCAGGCAGAGGAAUGUCCUAGGCAUGAGCAGGUAGGAAAACCUCCAGAUCAGAUGUGGGCCCAGAGAUGGACCGGGGCUGCAGUGGGGCUCCCCAAGCCCUCUUCCUGCAUGGUGGCACCUCCCAGGGCUGACAUGCCCACCCCUCUGGGUGGGUGGUUUUCCUUCCCAGCAACCUACCAAGCCCUUUUCCACUGGCCUGUUUGCAUGGGGCCAUUAGGUCAGGGUGGGAGGAUCGCACCACCUGCCUUUGACAGUGAACCCUCAGUAGCCUGGGGCUUUCCCAGGCUGCCUUCUUACCCAUCUGGGUGCCUUGGGCUCGGUGCUGGGGAGAGCAGGCCCUGCCCAGCCCCCAUCAAAACACCCAGCUACAUCCAACUCGGGAACAAAAACACCAGCCUGUUUCAGGUAAGUGAGUCAUUGCCCAGCUGACUUGGAGAGAGAAGCCUGGUUCUGUUGGGAGGGCUGAGAUCUGAACAGAACCUUUUAUCCAGUGGGAUUGAAAGGGCAGAAGGUUUUGGUACUAAGAUUACUUUCUUCCUCCUCUUCUUUUAGAGUAUUGACAGCGAUGCAUUGUUAAUGAUUUCUUAUCUCUUUUUCCAGAGAGCUAAGAGUAUUUUACAACUCAGGAGCUGGGAGCCCGCAUGCUGGUUCGAGUCCCUUAGUUCUCUCAGUGACAGUUGCUCCUCUGCCCUGUGCAGCCCCUCUCAGCUCUGGGCUGAGGCUUCCUGGGUCACAGGCAAGACAUUAACUAAUCACCUGGAUGACCAAAUGGCAUAAGUGUGUUCUGAAGGAAAAGAACUUGAGGGUGUGAGAGGGCCACCAACCGGAAGCCGGGCUAGCCCGGGGCAAGCUCUCCUGAGGAAGGGGGUGCUGAGCUGAGAGCUCAGGGAGGACUUCCGACGACCUGGGUUACUUGGGGUGGGAGUGGGAGGGUCACAGUUAUGGGAGAGUGGAUGGGGGGUGUUCCAGAAAGAGGGACCAGUGUGUGCAGGAGCCUUCUGGUGGGAGGAGGGAUGCUGUCUGCGUGACUGAAGGAGACCUGCGUGACACCUUAGGAAAGGGUUUUGUGGAUACUGGCAGUUGGAAGUUGCUAAGGAAGAAGGGUUUGACUGAAAUAAGAAGCAGAAAAGCUCAGAAUUACCAAAUGUAGAUCUCCUUGAACCCCUUUGUUUUAUAGGAUUCGAACCCCACAGUAAUGACAUUUAACACUCACUCCUCACCUUAAAACCCUAGCAGUUACCUGGUUAACAGGGCCCAGCUGGUGGCUGCAGGUGUCCUCACUCACAGCCCCUGCGGGCAGAACUGACCCUCAGCUCUCCCACCUGUGGCUGAGGCCUUGCAAAGCCCCACAGGCUCCCGCGCCUGGGGCCAGUGUCAGAAUCACUGAGGAGUCCAGCACAGGCCUUGCGGGGUGGUUCAUCUCAGCGUCUUCCCCACUCCCACAGCCACGCUAUGGAGACCGCAAGCCACCAGAGGUGCAGGACAACAAAACAAGUCACCCCAAACCACCCGGCCCCUUGGAAUUGCAGUCAUGCUCUCAUCUCCGCCCCAGUUUAAUGUGUGUGCAGUGAGUAACAUCCCACGUCCAAGCAGAAAUAUUGCCUAGGAUGCCCCCGCCCCCAGCAGCCUUGCUCUUAGUGAAGUUCAAGAACAGACAGAGAUGAGAGUACAGCUGUGGAGCAGGUGGCAGUGGGCAGAGGGGCAGGAACACAGACUUUGGAGUUAGAUCUAAGAUCUUCCCCAUUCAUUAGUCCUGAGACUCUGGACAAGGUUUUGAACCAUGUUAAGGAUCAGUUUCUUCUGCAAAAAUUGGGAAUGAUACCCGCCUCACAGGACUCUUGUGAGAAUUAAAGAGCACAACUUGGUGUUCAGAGUUUAUUUCCUUCUCUUCCCUAGACAGCACAUGCUGUCACUUCCAGGAGCCAUGAAAAAUAUAAGCCUGUAUCUGGAGGCCUAAGGAAUUGGUAGGAAACGUGAGAGAUACAGACUCUACUGUGUGGCUCUUGUUUGUCUUGGUUGUGGUAUCAGAGGACAGACAGCCAUGUUUCCUUAGCUUCAAACAACCAAAAGAGAUGGGAAAUCAAACUUAAGCACAGUUUGCAAAUCCUAUUUUUAGGAAAUUUUGAAAACAAAACUCAGUUCUUGCGGUAGAGGAUGAUCUACUUAGUACAAUUUUAGGACACCGGAUUUUUGCGUCACACCAGAGGUGAAAUAAGAUUGCCAGUGUUCUGACACUCACAUGGCUGGAAGGAGGAGCCCAUGCUCUUCCUGAAAUGGGCACAUGGAAGAGUUGCUCUGGCCAGGUGAAACUCACCUUUGUGGAGUGGCUGGAGCCUCAUAGGCAGACAGGGUGCUGGUUUCUGAUGAAGUGAGUAAAAUCGGAAAACGCUUUGCAUUUGUGAACUAUUUUACAAAGUAGGCAACACUAAUGUAAAUAUUCACACAUUUUAAUUCAGCUUUGGCCAUUUUAUUUCACCAUCAUAUAUAUAAUAGUUUGUAGGGACUGGUGGUGGCAUUAAACAGAAUUAACUAGGAUUCAUGAGUUUUGUAUUGCUAUUGUCUAUGUGAAGCAUCAGCCGUGACUUCCCUUUUCCUUGAGCAUCACUGUGUAACUCUCCUCUUUGCCUUUCUAACGGAUCGUUAUGUUAUCACGUCACAAGUAGAACUGCAAGAAGACAUUUCUCCUCAGGGCAGAGGCUGGGUCUUCCGAUCGCAUCUCCUUUCUUCAGUGAGAUCCUCUUCUUCUGGAAGCUGGUUUCACAUGGUGGCUUAGAUUUUUCCAUCUUUGUAUCUAGCACCAUUUGAAAUCAGUGUUUUAGGAGUAAGAAUUGCAGCACAGCAAAGGGCCAACCGCAGAGGAGCUGCUGCUUGUGGGACUGGCUCCCCUCCUCCUGCCACCUGAGCUGGUUCAAGAAAGGAAGAACUUGAAAAGCAGAAUACACUGUUGAGUGUGGAGGGGUGACAGUGCAGGGAGGGGUUUGUAUUUGAAAGACAUCCAGUGGUUGGAGCAGGGGCAGAGGUUGCGAUACUCUUUUCUGUUGACAGAUGGCAGCAGCCACCAGUAGUAACCUGUUGGUAGGGCCUUUGAGCACAGCGAUGGGGAAAUGCUGGAUUGAGUACUUGAUUGUACUAGGGAGGGGGAGAGGGCUGUGUACCUGCAGGACUGUUUCAUCCACAUCAGAACUGUCAGCCUGCUCCUAGAUGCCCUGGAACAUUGAGCUGCCGUUGCAGCCCAGCUGAAAUCAGACUUGCCACCUGCACUGUCAAGUGCGGCCCCCCAGGAGCACCACUGGACCCAUCUCUUACACAGGCUGACCGAUUUCUCCUGGUGUUCAGAGUCUGUUUUUGUCUAGCACCAUUUGAAAUCGGUUAUGAUGUAGGGGGAAAAGCAGCAGCCUCGAAGCCUCGUGCCAAGUCUGGUCAGCAACCCCCUGUGGUUUCCUGGAAGAUGGAUGGGCAGAGAGGGGGAAGGAAGAUCACACGUUUUCCUACUAACUUCUUUAACUGCAUUUAUGAUACUUUAUUGCAGAGGUAAGACAGAAUUUAACGGAUUUUUAAAAACAAAUCACUAGAAUGUGUCUGAUGUCCUCAGUUGCAUUUUGCUGAAAUGUGGUGGUGCUGUAAAUUCUAUAAAUUCAUUGGCUGUUGAGUUAUCUUUCUGUGAAGAAGAGUCUCUUCAUGCAUCCUGACCUUAAUAAAUGUUUUGCUGUAUUCAACUUAUUGUGUCUGUUUUUCAUCUCUUAUUUUCCAUUUAUAAUUCUAUGCUGAUGAGAAAGGUCCUGAAAAGUUAAUUUGCUAUGCAGAUCUUACCUACUUCAUAACGAAUUUGAGGUAGUUUACAGCAGACAGACAUUAAAAAUGAAGCCCGUUAAGACAAGAACGAAUUUAUAGGAGCCAAGAAACAAAAGGAGAGAACAGAUUACAGGAGAGAGAAACGUGGAAGACCUGGGCCGAGGGAUGCUCCUUACUGAAUGGGAAAACUGACGUUGGUCGAGACGGGCCGCAGCCCUGGCCCCCCUGCAGUCAGGGUUCCCUCGAGAAACUUGCUUAACUGAACCUACAGUCACGGGGCCCUUGAAUGGGAGCAGCCUGAGGAUUCCAGUUGCGUUAUGAGACGCAGUUCUACUUUCGGCUGUUCGUUUCUAUCGCCCCUUGAAGACAGGGCGGACCCGUUCUGUAGGGGUGUUCAGAGAUGAGCCAGAUUUGACGUUAGAGGGGAUUGAACUUGGGGAAUCUUCAGGGAGGACGGCCGUGGCCCUUGACUGAGCUUUUGGCACAGGAGCUGCAUGGCCAGCUGUGAACUACCUGCAGUACUUUUAUUUCACUCACACGGUUCUCAACAGGUGGUGGCAACUCAACCACCGGGGAAGCUUUUCUAAGUCCACAUCCUGCCAGUCUCCCCCCAGAUGCUGCCCUGCCCUGUGGGGUCGGGGCGGGGGGGAGUGGAGGGGGGGUGGGUAAAGCAUCUGCUGGGAAAACUUCCCGGUGAAUGAGAUGUACCCCAUCUCUGUGGCUGCAGUGCUAUUCCAGGCUGUGGACUGGAGAAUCCAUGUUCUCGUCCCCGGGAUGUGGUGGUGGGAAUAGUUAAGACUAAAUUGUUUUUUCUUCUUCUCUGCUGAGGUCAGCCACGAUAGGACCUAUGGGUUGUAACCAGCUGAACAAUUAUUGAUGCUUCUGCCGUGUCCCAAGCUCCAGCCUGGGUAUUGCAAACACAACAAGUAAGACAAGCAUUCUGCCCGCAGGCAGAGCCGAUUCCAGUCCCCAAAUGAGUAAGUGCUAGAAGAUUGGGUUUAGCAUUAAAGCACAAAAACAAUGAAUUAAAACAUAUUUUCCAUAAAGUAUCUGGUGCUCCCACUGAGUGUUUAAUUUUAAACAGUCCACGUGUCUAGGUCACGAGAAGCAAAGCCCAGGCCCUGAGUAACUGACUGCCUCUCACGCAGGAGCACGUGCUUUAUUCGUGGAGGCUGACAGCCCUUGCCCUCAGUUGCCAUCCGGAGCUUCUUCGUAAUAAAUGGUAAGCAGGAUGUUUCUUCUGGAGACAUCUUGAGUCUGCUUUCAAGGCCAUACUUUCGAUCUGGAUAGAAAACGUAUGGUCAGGCGUGCGUCCGCUUAGCUCCGUUGACCACACAUGUGACUGUAAACGUGGGUGGAGAGGGAGUGUCAGACUGAAGCCACCCUCAAGCCUCAUGCGAGUUGUUCUGGAAACAGUUCCCGUGUGUGGACAGAAAGGCCGAUGAGUUCUUGAUAAACGUGAGGCAAGUCACAUCUUUGACCAUUUAGGUGGAACAGAAUGUGUUGUGUCUGGACCUGGUAAUUCUUCAGGGAAGAUGUUGGCCCAGGCCUGCAUUUUGAGAAGCUGGUGUAGAGUUUCAGGGGGCUUCCUGGCAGACCAGUGCGUCCCUAUUUUGGGGCAGCUGUAGAGUCUUCCUUGACACAAGAAAAGAUAUAUUUGGGGUUUGUCCUACUGCACUCAUGUCCUCCCCACCUUCCAACUAGAUUCUCCCAAGGAGCCUUCCAAUAGUCAUUCUUAGGAAUCCCAGCCCUACAGGCUCUGGCUUAACUGCUCUAGGAUGGGGCCGGGACAUUCCUUUUUUGUUCGAAAGUCUCCCCAGGUGAUUCUAAUGUGCAGCCAGGGUUGAGAGCCGCUCCUCUAUGGAUUUGUUUCUACAAGGCGUUACUGCUCAAUGUGUGGUCUGAGGACCCCUGGCAUCAGUGUAUUAGCUUCCUGUGGCCGCUGUACCAAAUACAACAGACUUGGAGUCUCUCUGAGUCUCUUCAGGUGCUGUACCAAAUACUGCAGGCUGGUCAGCUUAUAAACGACUGCUAUUUCUCCCAGUUCUGGAGGCUGGGAAGUCCAGGUCAAGGUGCUGGCACUCGGUGUCUGUGAGAACCAGCUUUCUGGUUCACAGACAGUGCCUUCCAGCUGUAACUUCAUAUGGCAGGAGGGGUGAAGGGACUUUCUUGGGUCUCUUUUAUAAGGACUCUGAUCCCAAUCAUGAAGGCUCUGUGCUCAAGACCUAAUCACUUCCCAGCGGCCCUACCCCCUACUACUAUCGUCUUGGGGGUUAGGAUUUCAACAUUGGAGUUUGAGGGCACACAGACAUUCACACCAUGACAGUAUCUCACAACAACACACACACAGUUCUGGAGGUCAGAAGUCCAAAAUCAGUUCCAAUGGGCUGAAAUUAAGGUAUAGGGGCUCCCUCCAGAGGUCACAGGAUAGAAUCAGUUUCCUCGCCUUUUCCAGCUUCCAGAGCUGCAGUCUUUGGCUUGUGGCCCCUUCCUCCGUCCUCAAGAUCAGCAGCAUAGUGUUUUUGCUUUAGUGGUCACAUUGCCUUCUGCGGUACUCAGAUCUCCCUCUGCCUGCCUCUUAGGAGGAUACUUGUGAUUGCUUUAGAGCCCCACCUGAAUAAUCCAGGAUCAUCUCUCCAUCUAAGAUCUCUUCUGUAAAAGAUCUUCUGCCAUAGAAGGUAACAUUCACAGGUUCCAGGUAUCAGGACUCAGAUUUCUCUGGAGGAUAUUAGACAGCCAAACAACCACCAGCAUGGUGUGGAACUAGAAAUGCAGAACCUUGGUCCCCACCUGAGACCUGCUGGAUCAGAACCUGCAUUUUAACAAGAUCACCAUGUGAUUCACUUGCACACUAUGGGAUCCAUCCCAAGGAAUUCUCUAAUUAUUGACUCCCAUGUCAAAUACAAAUUAAAGGUGUAUUUUCUCUAGGAGCCUUUUUAGGUCACAGUGGAUGAUUAUAGGUGACUGAUCCUUUUCUCCAACAUUAUAAAUAAGUGCUCAUCCAAAUGACAGUGGUCUCCAGAAUUCUGAGUGAAGCCCCAAGCCCUAAGCACCAGGCUGUCAGAGCUCCUCUUUCUGAUAGUUCAGCACGAGGCUUUCCACUGGGACAUACAACACUUCAGUUCUUUAAAACCUGCAUAAGCAAGGUAAAUUCUGUAAACCUAGGUGGCUUCUCCUGUUAACAUCAGUUUUACCACCCCCAUACAGGUUUUCUUGGGCUGGCAAGUCAGGAAUAUGGGUGGGUAACUCUCAAUGUUAUCUAUACUGUGGCAAUUUGUUCACCUUCUCGUAUGAAAGGGACAAUAGCUGAAGGAAUAGCUGAAGGAAAGAUAGCUUGUUGACCACAGUCUCCGAUGUUACACUUCUCUCAUAUUUAAGCAAUAAGAGACAGAGUUUUGCCGUUUUUAAAAUGCUAAUUUCACAGAAGGAAAGCAGAAAAGAGCUAGUUACUACUAGAUCUAAAAUGAAAUUAAAAAUGGCUCUGGGGGGCCAGCCCGAUGGCGCAGCGGUUAAGUUCGCACGUUCCACUUCUCGGCGGCCCGGGGUUUGCCGGUUCGCAUGCCGGGUGCGGACAUGGCACUGCUUGGCACACCAUGCUGUGGUAGGCGCCCCACAUAUAAAGCAGAGGAAGAUGGGCACGGGUUAGCUCAGUGCCAGGCUUCCUCAGCAAAAAGGAGGACUGGCAGUAGUUAGCUCAGGGCUAAUCUUCCUCAGGAAAAAAAAAAAAAAAAAGGCUCUGGGAAUCAGAGCAAUGACAAACUUCUGAAUGACUAAGGAAGGGACUGUGAAGUGCCCAAAUAGUCCACAGGAGGGCAGCAGAGCUAUGUUUAUAAAGACCAUUUUGGUGAAAUAUUUUCUGAAUCAGACUGGAAAUGAUGAACCCAAUGCAGCUUAGGAAAAAAAAUCUGUGAUCACUCAAUUUCACAUUGUUUCUGGAAGACAGCAGACUAUAUCAGAUCCUGCUCUUGAGCACAAAUAUGCAAACUUUUUAUAUAUGCAAAAAAUUCCAUGAUUACAAUGCUGUCAGGCAUCGCUAAAGUUUUAGAGUUGCCUAUUUUCCUUAAACCUAGAAUCUACUUUAACGAUGCAAAUUCCAAUUCCGGCCUAUCCCAGGUCUCUUCAACAUUCUUUUAUUGUUAGUCACCUUAAAAGCUCUUCCUAUAUAUUUUAUGCCAAUUUAAAAACUAUUCUAUAGUCUCAAGUUAAGGCCAAAUAAAAUUUGAUAAUCUGCUGUAUUUUUACUCAACCUUUCAUACAGCCUUGAUAUUAGAAAGAUUGCUUCUGUUUUUUAAAUGACAGUUAGCCUUGUAUGGUUAUCCAGGCAACAAGACCUUAAUUCAAGUCUUAGACAUCUUCCGAUUUCUUGAAUGGGCUGAAAUAGUAAAACUACAAUUUUCUUUUGUCAAUAUAAGCCCUUAUAUCUGUCUUUAUAAGUUUUUAUGUAGAAACGGGCUGUGGGG
RNAcentral lists this long non-coding RNA (12089 nucleotides) under Equus caballus (horse). Its description in RNAcentral is "lncRNA (ENSECAG00000056309.1)". The stretch from base 6584 to 6654 matches the Rfam family "mir-29 microRNA precursor family". Lineage: Eukaryota; Metazoa; Chordata; Mammalia; Perissodactyla; Equidae. The record is from RNAcentral.